RNAcentral lists this ribosomal RNA (625 nucleotides) under Malbranchea zuffiana. RNAcentral's name for it is "eukaryotic LSU rRNA". It matches the Rfam family "Eukaryotic large subunit ribosomal RNA", at positions 1 to 662 of the family's 3401-position model. RNAcentral also lists the same sequence under 1 other name. The record is from RNAcentral. Lineage: Eukaryota; Fungi; Ascomycota; Eurotiomycetes; Onygenales; Malbrancheaceae.
UCUAGGCCCCGUCAGGAGCCCGAGUUGUAAUUUGGAGAGGACACUUCGGGAUUGCCCCAGUAACGGCGAGUGAAGCGGCAAAAGCUCAAAUUUGAAAUCUGGCUCCUUCCGGGGUCCGAGUUGUAAUUUGCAGAGGAUGCUUUGGGUGCACCCGCGGCGUAAGUCCCUUGGAACAGGGCGUCAUAGAGGGUGAGAAUCCCGUCUUGAGUCGCUGGCGUGUGCCCGUGCAAAGCUCCUUCGACGAGUCGAGUUGUUUGGGAAUGCAGCUCUAAUUGGGUGGUAAAUUUCAUCUAAAGCUAAAUACUGGCCGGAGACCGAUAGCGAACAAGUAGAGUGAUCGAAAGGUUAAAAGCACCUUGAAAAGGGAGUUAAAUAGCACGUGAAAUUGUUGAAAGGGAAGCGCUUGCAGCCAGACUCGGGCGCGGAGGCUCAGCGGGCAUGUUUGCCCGUGUACUCCUUCGCGCCCGGGCCAGCAUCGGUUUUGGCGGCCGGUCAAAGGCCCCCGGAAUGUGUCGUCCUCCGGGACGUCUUAUAGCCGGGGGUGCAAUGCGGCCAGCCGGGACCGAGGAACGCGCUUCGGCACGGAUGCUGGCGUAAUGGCUGUAAGCGGCCCGUCUUGAAACAC